Molecule: long non-coding RNA, 557 nt
Filed under: Homo sapiens (human)
Lineage: Eukaryota; Metazoa; Chordata; Mammalia; Primates; Hominidae
Description: non-protein coding lnc-P2RY1-3:13
Source: RNAcentral
AUCAUGUUCCUCGUACACUGCACCAGCACCACUGCUUCCCUUCCCAGUGAGAACCCGAUCAAGCUUUAUCAUGCAGCCCAGAAGGGUGGGGGAAAGAAAAAGAAUUAGGAGAAAAUGUUGUAAAAGUAAUGAGAUAAUAUGAGAAUGUGCUUUGGGAACUGCGAAUCUGGAGUCACUGGUCCAUGAGGAAUCUAGGAUAAGAAGAAGGAAGCUGUGAAGAAUGGUUGGCUAACAGUGCUGGCAAGGAAUUCAGAUCAACAUACCUCUCAAAAGAAUGGAAGUCUCUUAAACUCAGGAGGUUGAUCAUGUGCAAAAGAAACAAUGACAAGAUAAUGAUCCAAAAUCACCAGCCAUAUCUUUGCUGUGGUAUGUGUGAAACUUGCAUCUACUUAUUACAUAAAAUGCUACACCUGUAACUUCUGAUGGUGUUGUGCUUUUUUCUGUAAUUCAGCAGUCUUUCUUUUACCUCAUUCUGAUAGCCUACUUUCAUUUGUAUUUGGAAUAAAGUCAUAUUAGUUACUGUAGUAUUGCUUUCUUUAUUAUGAUUUUAACAUUUU